Molecule: ribosomal RNA, 225 nt
Filed under: uncultured Streptococcaceae bacterium
Lineage: Bacteria; Bacillati; Bacillota; Bacilli; Lactobacillales; Streptococcaceae
Description: partial 16S ribosomal RNA
Rfam family: Bacterial small subunit ribosomal RNA
Source: RNAcentral
CGCGUAGGUAACCUGCCUGGUAGCGGGGGAUAACUAUUGGAAACGAUAGCUAAUACCGCAUAAGAGUAGAUGUUGCAUGACAUUUGCUUAAAAGGUGCAAUUGCAUCACUACCAGAUGGACCUGCGUUGUAUUAGCUAGUUGGUGGGGUAACGGCUCACCAAGGCGACGAUACAUAGCCGACCUGAGAGGGUGAUCGGCCACACUGGGACUGAGACACGGCCCAG